AGAACGAACGCUGGCGGCAGGCCUCAAACAUGCAAGUCUAGGGGGUGUAGCAAUACAUCACCGGCGGACGGGUGCGUAACACGUGGGAAUAUACCUUUUGGUUCGGAACAACGCAGGGAAACUUGCGCUAAUACCGAAUGUGCCCUUACGGGGAAAGAUUUAUCGCCAAAGGAUUAGCCCGCGUAGGAUUAGCUAGUUGGUGAGGUAAUGGCUCACCAAGGCUCCGAUCCUUAGCUGUUCUGAGAGGAAGAUCAGCCACACUGGGACUGAGACACGGCCCAGACUCCUACGGGAGGCAGCAGUUGGGAAUCUUGGACAAUGGGGAAACCCUGAUCCAGCCAUGCCGCGUGAGUGAUGAAGGCCUUGGGUUGUAAAACUCUUUCGACGGGGACGAUAAUGACGGUACCGUAGAAGAGCUCCGGCUAACUUCGCGCCAGCAGCCGC
This 444-nucleotide ribosomal RNA is filed under the name uncultured bacterium. Its description in RNAcentral is "SSU rRNA". It matches the Rfam family "Bacterial small subunit ribosomal RNA", at positions 26 to 518 of the family's 1533-position model. The record is from RNAcentral.